AUACGGAGGGUGCAAGCGUUAUCCGGAUUUAUUGGGUUUAAAGGGUGCGUAGGCGGCCUUAUAAGUCGGUGGUUAAAGGUGGUCGCUUAACGAUUUCACAUGCCAUCGAUACUGUAGGGCUUGAGUGAUUUGGAGGUAGCUAGAAUUCCCUGUGUAGCGGUGAAAUGCAUAGAUACGGGGAGGAAUACCGAUUGCGAAGGCAUGUUACUACGAAUUAACUGACGCUGAGGCACGAAAGCGUGGGGAUCAAACAGGAUUAGAUACCCUGGUAGUCCACGCCGUAAACGAUGAUUACUAGUUGUUGGGUUAAUAGCUCAGUGACCAAGGGAAACCGAUAAGUAAUCCACCUGGGGAGUACGCCGGCAACGGUGAA
This 373-nucleotide ribosomal RNA is filed under the name uncultured bacterium. Its description in RNAcentral is "bacterial SSU rRNA". It matches the Rfam family "Bacterial small subunit ribosomal RNA", at positions 523 to 898 of the family's 1533-position model. The record is from RNAcentral.